GAUGAACGCUGGCGGCGUGCCUAAUACAUGCAAGUCGAGCGAACAGAUGAGGAGCUUGCUCCUCUGACGUUAGCGGCGGACGGGUGAGUAACACGUGGAUAACCUACCUAUAAGACUGGGAUAACUUCGGGAAACCGGAGCUAAUACCGGAUAAUAUAUUGAACCGCAUGGUUCAAUAGUGAAAGACGGUUUUGCUGUCACUUAUAUCUGGAUCCGCGCCGCAUUAGCUAGUUGGUAAGGUAACGGCUUACCAAGGCAACGAUGCGUAGCCGACCUGAGAGGGUGAUCGGCCACACUGGAACUGAGACACGGUACAGACUCCUACGGGAGGCAGCAGUAGGGAAUCUUCCGCAAUGGGCGAAAGCCUGACGGAGCAACGCCGCGUGAGUGAUGAAGGUCUUCGGAUCGUAAAACUCUGUUAUUAGGGAAGAACAAAUGUGUAAGUAACUAUGCACGUCUUGACGGUACCUAAUCAGAAAGCCACGGCUAACUACGUG
This 497-nucleotide ribosomal RNA is filed under the name uncultured bacterium. RNAcentral describes it as "partial 16S ribosomal RNA". It matches the Rfam family "Bacterial small subunit ribosomal RNA", at positions 28 to 507 of the family's 1533-position model. The record is from RNAcentral.